GCAAAAUGACUUUCUUAAUAAGAAGUGAGGGAGCAGUGCUCCUCUGUGACCCUUCUCUACACCACAGAUGAUUGAUUGCU
Molecule: small nucleolar RNA, 80 nt
Organism: Perca fluviatilis (European perch)
Lineage: Eukaryota; Metazoa; Chordata; Actinopteri; Perciformes; Percidae
Product: small nucleolar RNA SNORD83
Exons: 1
Source: RefSeq, a predicted model, not a curated record